GGUCUUGGUGAGGUUGGAUGAGGUCUAGAGGAAGGUUCUUGGAGCUGAGGAGGGUCUGGGUGAGGUUGGAUGAGGUCUGGGUGAGGUUGGAUGAGGUCUAGAGGAAGGUUCUUGGUGCUGAAGAGGGUCUGGGUGAGGUUGGAUGAGGUCUGAGUGAGGUUGGAUGAGGUUGGAGGAGGUCUAGAGGAAGGUUCUUGGAGCUGAAGAGGGUCUGGGUGAGGUUGGAUGAGGUCUAGAGGAAGGUUCUUGGUGCUGAAGAGGGUCUGGGUGAGGUUGGAUGAGGUCUGGGUGAGGUUGGAUGAGGUCUAGAGGAAGGUUCUUGGAUCUCAGGAGGGUCUUGGUGAGGUCUUGAGGUUUGGUGGGGACCCUUUUGAAGGGUCUAUUGGUAGAACCUGAAGGUCCUUAUGAGGUCUCCUUGACCUCAACAGAGGUUCUGGGUCAAUUUAAAGGCACUUGAGGUAGAAUUUGGAGGUCCUUAUGAGGUCUCCUUGCCCACAACAGAGGUUCUGAGUGGCUGUGGGUCCUGUUAGGGUAGAACCUGAAGGUCCUUAUGAGGUCUCCUUGACUACCACAAAGGUUCUGGGUCAAUUUAAAGGCUCUGUGAUAGAA
Pogoniulus pusillus (Red-fronted tinkerbird) is the source of this 609-nucleotide long non-coding RNA. RefSeq lists it as uncharacterized. NCBI's taxonomy places the organism in Eukaryota, Metazoa, Chordata, Aves, Piciformes, Lybiidae. The transcript is spliced from 3 exons. The record is from RefSeq and is a predicted model, not a curated record.